RNAcentral lists this microRNA precursor (159 nucleotides) under Pelobates cultripes (western spadefoot toad). The record is from RNAcentral. Lineage: Eukaryota; Metazoa; Chordata; Amphibia; Anura; Pelobatidae.
GCUGACACAUCCCUGCCAAUCUCCAGCAGACCCUCCCUCCCAGACUCUCCUACUUCCUGGACAGCAUCCAUGUUGAAGGCAGCUUCAACAUGGAUGCUGUCCAGGAGGUGGGAGGGUCUGGGAGGGAGGGUCUGCUGGAGAUUGGCAGGGAUGUGUCAG